This 1442-nucleotide ribosomal RNA is filed under the name uncultured organism. RNAcentral describes it as "16S ribosomal RNA". It matches the Rfam family "Bacterial small subunit ribosomal RNA". The record is from RNAcentral.
CAGGCUUAACACAUGCAAGUCGAGGGGCAGCAUGGUCUUAGCUUGCUAAGGCCGAUGGCGACCGGCGCACGGGUGAGUAACACGUAUCCAACCUGCCGUCUACUCUUGGACAGCCUUCUGAAAGGAGGAUUAAUACAAGAUGGCAUCAUGAGUCCGCAUGUUCACAUGAUUAAAGGUAUUCCGGUAGACGAUGGGGAUGCGUUCCAUUAGAUAGUAGGCGGGGUAACGGCCCACCUAGUCUUCGAUGGAUAGGGGUUCUGAGAGGAAGGUCCCCCACAUUGGAACUGAGACACGGUCCAAACUCCUACGGGAGGCAGCAGUGAGGAAUAUUGGUCAAUGGGCGAGAGCCUGAACCAGCCAAGUAGCGUGAAGGAUGACUGCCCUAUGGGUUGUAAACUUCUUUUAUAAAGGAAUAAAGUCGGGUAUGGAUACCCGUUUGCAUGUACUUUAUGAAUAAGGAUCGGCUAACUCCGUGCCAGCAGCCGCGGUAAUACGGAGGAUCCGAGCGUUAUCCGGAUUUAUUGGGUUUAAAGGGAGCGUAGAUGGAUGUUUAAGUCAGUUGUGAAAGUUUGCGGCUCAACCGUAAAAUUGCAGUUGAUACUGGAUAUCUUGAGUGCAGUUGAGGCAGGCGGAAUUCGUGGUGUAGCGGUGAAAUGCUUAGAUAUCACGAAGAACUCCGAUUGCGAAGGCAGCCUGCUAAGCUGCAACUGACAUUGAGGCUCGAAAGUGUGGGUAUCAAACAGGAUUAGAUACCCUGGUAGUCCACACGGUAAACGAUGAAUACUCGCUGUUUGCGAUAUACGGCAAGCGGCCAAGCGAAAGCGUUAAGUAUUCCACCUGGGGAGUACGCCGGCAACGGUGAAACUCAAAGGAAUUGACGGGGGCCCGCACAAGCGGAGGAACAUGUGGUUUAAUUCGAUGAUACGCGAGGAACCUUACCCGGGCUUAAAUUGCAGAUGAAUUACGGUGAAAGCCGUAAGCCGCAAGGCAUCUGUGAAGGUGCUGCAUGGUUGUCGUCAGCUCGUGCCGUGAGGUGUCGGCUUAAGUGCCAUAACGAGCGCAACCCUUGUUGUCAGUUACUAACAGGUUCCGCUGAGGACUCUGACAAGACUGCCAUCGUAAGAUGUGAGGAAGGUGGGGAUGACGUCAAAUCAGCACGGCCCUUACGUCCGGGGCUACACACGUGUUACAAUGGGGGGUACAGAGGGCCGCUACCACGCGAGUGGAUGCCAAUCCCCAAAACCUCUCUCAGUUCGGACUGGAGUCUGCAACCCGACUCCACGAAGCUGGAUUCGCUAGUAAUCGCGCAUCAGCCACGGCGCGGUGAAUACGUUCCCGGGCCUUGUACACACCGCCCGUCAAGCCAUGGGAGCCGGGGGUACCUGAAGUGCGUAACCGCGAGGAGCGCCCUAGGGUAAAACUGGUGACUGGGGCUAAGUCGU